UGUUUUUAGGCCGGCGGAGUCGCGGCGUUUGUGUACUUCCCCUUGGCCGGGGACCCCCCGCGGAAUGUUCUCCAUCUCGCCCGGACCAUUCUCCGGCGCACUCGACAGCAUGUCCGGAAGCAUGUCCACCCUGAUAUUCAAUCUGGAGGACUGGAGCCCUUCCAAGCACUGGAUCCGGCUGUGGGGGUAAACUUGGACCUGGCGGACACCAAGUGCAGCGCUGCGAUGGUGGGGAAGACCGAGUUGUGAGGGGAGUACAUGUCCAUCUUGCGCUGCCCGGUUGGCAGGUCCCCAUGGGUCUGGCCGAGGUUCCCCCUCAUCAGGAUCAACGCCACCCUGACCCAUGGGACCCCCGGGGUCACCGCCCCCCAGCCAUUGACGGCGUUCUACAGGAACAUGACGUCGCCUCUCCGGGUGAGCCUGGGUUUUUCCGCCACCACCACGCUAAGCCACGCCAAUUUCGGCAUGACGGCCUGGAAAUCCUUAAUCUGUAUGCAGGGUUCCACCUCCACCCCGAUCACCAAUUUCCAUGCCCUCGUGCCGAAUUCGGCUCGCCUGAACGUGGUGCCCGCGGCAACCCCACCCCCGCCCCCGAACCCCAGGCUCUGACCAUGAUUAACGCGACCACCGUUACUCGAUGAAGCCUCUUGUUUCUUUGCGUCAUCAAGUCCCUACGCUGAAAUGAGUUGCGUUCUUGAAAGGCUGGACCUGCCGAAAAAUCCCCAACCAUAGAUCCAGGGCCUGAUCCAAUAAAAGGCAUCCGUUCGGCUUUUUUUUGAGUUCACAUUCGGGCCACGAGUAAG
Molecule: ribosomal RNA, 803 nt
Filed under: Acanthamoeba sp. ISIRI
Lineage: Eukaryota; Discosea; Longamoebia; Acanthamoebidae
Description: partial 18S ribosomal RNA
Source: RNAcentral